Gallus gallus (chicken) is the source of this 3023-nucleotide long non-coding RNA. Lineage: Eukaryota; Metazoa; Chordata; Aves; Galliformes; Phasianidae. The record is from Ensembl.
AAAGAAAAAAAAAAAAAAAGACAAUUUAUCUAUGGAGAGGAAAAAGCAUUUGAAAUAAUGUUGGGUAUUUUGCCAAGACUGUCAGAAGAGUAACACUUCCACUUUCUCAGCUCUGUCUCAUUAAAAUUGUAUUCUAAUUCUGCCUCAGCUUGGUCUCUUUGCUCCAUAAGUCAUUGCCUGCUCAUUACUUGUAGUGUGAGAGAUGAAAUUUAUUCAAACCUGAUAGCAGGGAUGAAGAAUUGAAAGGCAGGCAGCUGCGAGAAAUGAAAUUAGCUUAUUCUAAUGCUUUUUUGACAGGAUUUUUUUCAUUGCCAUGGGUUACUGUACAUUUGCCUGAAAUGCUCCCCUGCCACAUCCUUAUCUCUAAUUUGGAGAGAUAUGUAUUUGAAGGGUGGACUGUUUGGUGGAUAAGAAAUUGGUUGGAAGGUUGCAGCCAGAAGAAUGUGGUCGCUGAAUCUAUGUCCAGGUGGAGGCUGAAAUACUUAAGAAGUGUGAGCUCAUCAAACGGCUAUACAGAGUCAACAGAAAGCAUAAAAGAAUUUUGAGGAAGAAGGGCAUCAAAGCUCGUUCAGAACUGAAAACUAAGGUCCCACAGAGAAGGGUGCCAUGGUGCAGCUAUGCAAUAGCCAUCAGAAUGGGAAAUUACUGAGGGAGAUUGAAGUGCUCAGAACUGCUGGCUUAUGAUCACUCAAAAUUCAGAAUUGGUAUUGUAUUGCAAUUCCUCAUCAAAAACAUGCAGAAUCAUCUUUCUCGUCAAAAACAUUUCAUUGAGAUAGCAGUCUACUGUGCCUCCCAAAAGGAAAGUGCUGAAGAUGUCACUGAAAAUUAUCACCACUUUCUUCUGCAUCAAGAAAAUAUAACUCACAUACAUCUCCUGGGAAUAUGGAAAUUAUGAAUAUUUGAGUCUAUCAUUUUUCCUUGAGGCCUGCCAAUGAGGCACAGGAGGUUGUUGAACUUGGAGUGAUAAUGUUCUUUCAAAGGCAGCAGCAAGUGGAUGUCAGGUCUCAGUCUUUGGAUACUCCAACUAACAAAAGUUUCUGGUUUAUCUUUCCUGGAUUCCCUUUACAGAAAGGGAGCUAGCUAAGGCUACUCAUGCUUCCUCUCCCCCUAACAACCCAAAGAGCUCCCCAUAAAGUUCAAAGUCAACUGUGGUAUCUUUAAAAUUUAAACAUUAUCAGAACACAAAUCAAUAAAGUGUUAACUCUCUUAUCAGUCAUCUGCCAUGAACAACAAACAUUUUAAGUCAGCAGUUUGCAAACAAGCCAUGGACUAAUAUUUGUUUGCAUAAACUAUUCAGUACAGAUGCAUAAAAGAAAUUUAGUGGGAAUCAGGAUUAGCUUACAAAUGAUCUGCAAAAAAAGAGAAGAAGAGAAGAGAAGAGAAGAGAAGAGAAGAGAAGAGAAGAGAAGAGAAGAGAAGAGAAGAGAAGAGAAGAGAAGAGAAGAGAAGAGAAGAGAAGAGAAGAGAAGAGAAGAGAAGAGAAGAGAAGAGAAGAGAAGAGAAACACAUAAGCACAACAAAAAACUCCUAGAGUUAUUGGAUAUUUUAUUUAUAAUUAGUAAUUAAAUCAGCUCUAGUAUGGAUGCUGACAAUAUCAACAUAGCAUGUUUUCUGCUAGAUUUAUCACAUAUUUAUUUAAAAAAAAAAAAGCAGCACAGCAACCUAUUUACUUUCGACAUGAGUCAAUAGUGGUGUGGAUAAUGAGCACAACAGUAAAGAAAUUUGACUUAAACUUCAGUUUCAGAGCUGGCAAGGGUGAAACAAAAAUGAGUAGUCAGAAAGACUGAGAUUACAGUAAUGAGAUGCCUGCCUACAACUCCUCCUGCCUCCAUAGUCCAUGGCAAUACUCAAUAUCCUUUGGAGACAGUUUAGAGACAGGAGCACCCUUUCUCAUUCUCUUAAUGAACUUCAAUAGUGCCUCUAUUUGAACUUCAGUAAAGUUUGCAAAACGAGCAAUUUUUGAGAUUUUCUAUAUGUUUGUAUUUUAGCUUCCACAUGAAUAAAAGAAGCAGGGCAAUCUUUGGCAGCAAGCUGACAAACUCAGUGAGGUGAUCUCUAAACUAGAGAACCUGGGGGCUAGGGUCCACAAUGGCAGUGCUUACAUCAUUGUAAAUAACUGGGGAAUGAGACAAGCCAACCAGAACAGCGAUGGAUGUUAUUUAGCUGACUUCCAUGACACAGAAUCACAGAAUCAGUCGAUUUGAAACGUACCCUUAAAGGUCAUCUAGUCCAACCCCUCUGCAAUGAGCAGGAACAUAUACAGCUCAAUCAGGUGCUCAGUUCCCCAUCCAUCUUGACCUUAAAUGUCUCCAAGAAUGUGGCAUCCACCAUCUCUGUGGGCAGCUUAUUUCUGUGUCUCACCACAUUUAUCAUAUUGUCUUUUUUCUUCACACCCAGUCCAAACCUCUGCUUUAUUUUGAAACCAUUUCCCCUUGUCCUGUCACAACAGACUCUGGUAAAGAGUCUGUCCCCUUUUUUCUUGUCGCCCCAUUUAGACCUCCUAAAGCUGAUAUCUGUUCUCCCCAGAGCUUUCUCUUUUCCAGACUGAAAAGCCCCAGCUCUCUCAGCUUGUCCCCAUAGGAGAGAUGUUCCAUCCCUUGCAUCAUUUUUGUGGCCUUCCUCUAGAUGCACUCCAACAGGUCCAUGUCUCUUCUGUACUGAGGACUCCACAUCUGGAGACAGUACUCCAGGUGAAGCCUCACCAGCACAGAGUAGAGGGCCAUGAUCAUCUUCCUCAAGCUGCAGACCACACUUCUUAUGAUGAAGCCCAUGAGUCAAAAGGUCAGCCACUUCAAAGCUCCCUAAUAUUGCCUCUCUGCUGAAUGUUGCACUGUUCUGAGAAAAGCUGCCCAUUGUAUUGUUUUGAAAUGACAGUUCUCUUGGGACCACGACCCUGCAAAUAAUUGCUGCCAAUUUUAGUGCUAGACUGAAUGAAGUGUCUCUUCAUGGAAAACCCAUUUCAUUCAAAUUAUUAUGGUCUGACUCUUAAUUUUUCUUUGCAUUACAUCAGGAAUGCUGCACCU